UACGUAGGGUGCGAGCGUUGUCCGGAAUUAUUGGGCGUAAAGGGCUCGUAGGCGGUCUGUCACGUCGGGAGUGAAAACACGGGGCUUAACCCCGUGCCUGCUUCCGAUACGGGCAGACUAGAGGUAUGCAGGGGAGAACGGAAUUCCUGGUGUAACGGUGAAAUGCGCAGAUAUCAGGAGGAACACCGGUGGCGAAGGCGGUUCUCUGGGCAUUACCUGACGCUGAGGAGCGAAAGUGUGGGGAGCGAACAGG
This 253-nucleotide ribosomal RNA is filed under the name uncultured bacterium. Its description in RNAcentral is "partial 16S ribosomal RNA". It matches the Rfam family "Bacterial small subunit ribosomal RNA", at positions 524 to 776 of the family's 1533-position model. The record is from RNAcentral.